This 253-nucleotide ribosomal RNA is filed under the name uncultured bacterium. Its description in RNAcentral is "partial 16S ribosomal RNA". It matches the Rfam family "Bacterial small subunit ribosomal RNA", at positions 524 to 776 of the family's 1533-position model. The record is from RNAcentral.
UACGUAGGGGGCAAGCGUUGUCCGGAAUCAUUGGGCGUAAAGAGCGCGUAGGCGGUCCGGUAAGUCGGUUGUGAAAACUGGAGGCUCAACCUUCAGACGUCGACCCAAACCCCCUGGCUAGAGUCCGGAAGAGGAGAGUGGAAUUCCUGGUGUAGCGGUGAAAUGCGCAGAUAUCAGGAAGAACACCCGCGGUGUAGACGGCUUACUGGACCAUAACUGACGCUGAGGCACGAAAGCGUGGGUAGCAAACAGG